GUCUUUUUGUUUAUGAUUUAAAGUCUAACCUGCCCAAUGAAAGUAAUUUAAUGGCCGCAGUAUUUUAACUGUGCGAAGGUAGCAUAAUAAUUAGUUUUUUAAUUGAAAACUAGAAUGAAUGGUUGGACGAGAAAAAAGCUGUCUCAAUUUAAAUUUAAUUAAAAUUUUAUUUUUAAGUUAAAAAGCUUAAAUAAUUUUAAAAGACGAGAAGACCCUAUAGAGUUUUAUAUUAUAUAUUUAUUUUAUAAAUAAAGAAUUUAAUUUAUUUAAUUUUUGUAUAGUAUUUGAUUGGGGUGAUUUAAAAAUUAAAUAAACUUAUUAUUAAUUAAACCAUUUAUUUAUGAUUAUUUGAUCCAUAUAUUAUGAUUAAAAGAUUAAAUUACCUUAGGGAUAACAGCGUAAUUUUUUUUUAGAGUUCUUAUUGAAAAAAAAGUUUGCGACCUCGAUGUUGGAUUAAA
This 458-nucleotide ribosomal RNA is filed under the name Aphodius aff. paradivisus TRICHAPHpar. RNAcentral describes it as "partial 16S ribosomal RNA". The record is from RNAcentral. Lineage: Eukaryota; Metazoa; Arthropoda; Insecta; Coleoptera; Scarabaeidae.